Molecule: transfer RNA, 74 nt
Filed under: Synechococcus phage S-BM3
Lineage: Duplodnaviria; Heunggongvirae; Uroviricota; Caudoviricetes; Pantevenvirales; Kyanoviridae
Description: tRNA-Val
Rfam family: tRNA
About the family: Transfer RNA (tRNA) molecules are approximately 80 nucleotides in length. Their secondary structure includes four short double-helical elements and three loops (D, anti-codon, and T loops).
Source: RNAcentral
UGCUUGCUUAGCUCAGCGGUAGAGCAUCUCGUUUACACCGAGGCGGUCGGCGGUUCGAUCCCGUCAGCAAGCAU